GGAUUAGGCAUGCAAGUCGAACGAGAAGGGUUUUGCAAGAGACCUUGUAAAGUGGCGGAAGGGCGAGUAAUGCAUAGAUAACCUACCCUUAAAAUGAGGAUAACCUCUCGAAAGGGAGACUAAUACUCAAUAAGACCACGGGUCGCAUGACCUGUGCUCAAAGAUGGGGACCCGCAAGGGCCUUUCGUUUAAGGAGGGGUUUAUGUCCUAUCAGCUAGUUGGUGAGGUAAUGGCUCACCAAGGCGAUGACGGGUAGCCGACCUGAGAGGGUGACCGGCCGCACUGGGACUGAGACACUGCCCAGACUCCUACGGGAGGCUGCAGUCGAGGAUCUUCCGCAAUGCGCGAAAGCGUGACGGAGCGACGCCGCGUGGGUGAUGAAGGCCUUCGGGUUGUAAAGCCCUGUCAGCUGGGAAGAAUGGCGGAGGGUGAAUAGCCACUCUGUCUGACGCUACCAGCAAAGGAAGCACCGGCUAAAUACGUGCCAGCAGCCGCGGUAAUACGUAUGGUGCGAACGUUGUUCGGAAUCACUGGGCAUAAAGAGCACGUAGGCGGUUAAGCAAGUCCAUUGUGAAAUCCCCCGGCUUAACCGGGGAGCCGCAGUGGAUACUACUUGACUUGAGUACAGGAGGGGAGAGUGGAAUUCCAGGUGGAGCGGUGAAAUGCGUAGAUAUCUGGAGGAACGCCGGUGGCGAAAGCGACUCUCUGGUCUGUAACUGACGCUGAGGUGCGAAAGCUAGGGGAGCAAACGGGAUUAGAUACCCCGGUAGUCCUAGCCCUAAACGAUGGGCACUAAGUAGAGGGGUUUU
This 809-nucleotide ribosomal RNA is filed under the name uncultured Planctomycetota bacterium. RNAcentral describes it as "bacterial SSU rRNA". It matches the Rfam family "Bacterial small subunit ribosomal RNA", at positions 46 to 832 of the family's 1533-position model. Lineage: Bacteria; Pseudomonadati; Planctomycetota. The record is from RNAcentral.